CUUAUCACAGGACAGAUCCUGAAAGGUGCCACAGGGAAACAGCUUCAACAGGAGAGACCGAGGGAGCCCUACCUCAGAAUAUCUCAGAGCUCAGUGGUUAGAGCACAUUCCUGAAAGGGAUAAUUAUAGAAAAUGUGGAGUAAACUCCAGUGGUAGACAACGUUUUUCAACAUUACAUUGUUUUCUUGGACUAAGAGGUGGGAGG
Long non-coding RNA from Mauremys reevesii (Reeves's turtle), 205 nucleotides. RefSeq lists it as uncharacterized. The transcript is spliced from 3 exons. The record is from RefSeq and is a predicted model, not a curated record. NCBI's taxonomy places the organism in Eukaryota, Metazoa, Chordata, Testudines, Geoemydidae.